AUCCAGCUGACGAGUCCCAAAUUGGACGAAACGCAGUCCUGGAU
RNAcentral lists this non-coding RNA (44 nucleotides) under Schistosoma bovis. The record is from RNAcentral. Lineage: Eukaryota; Metazoa; Platyhelminthes; Trematoda; Strigeidida; Schistosomatidae. RNAcentral also lists the same sequence under 1 other name.